AGAGUUUGAUCAUGGCUCAGAUUGAACGCUGGCGGCAGGCUUAACACAUGCAAGUCGAACGGUAACAGGGAGGAGCUUGCUUCUUUGCUGACGAGUGGCGGACGGGUGAGUAAUACUUGGGAAUCUGGCUUAUGGAGGGGGAUAACUACGGGAAACUGUAGCUAAUACCGCGUAAUAUCUUCGGAUUAAAGGGUGGGACUUUCGGGCCACCUGCCAUAAGAUGAGCCCAAGUGGGAUUAGGUAGUUGGUGGGGUAAAGGCCUACCAAGCCGACGAUCUCUAGCUGGUCUGAGAGGAUGACCAGCCACACUGGAACUGAGACACGGUCCAGACUCCUACGGGAGGCAGCAGUGGGGAAUAUUGCACAAUGGGGGGAACCCUGAUGCAGCCAUGCCGCGUGAAUGAAGAAGGCCUUCGGGUUGUAAAGUUCUUUCGGUGAUGAGGAAGGUGUUUGUUUUAAUAGAACAAGCAAUUGACGUUAGUCACAGAAGAAGCACCGGCUAACUCCGUGCCAGCAGCCGCGGUAAUACGGAGGGUGCGAGCGUUAAUCGGAAUGACUGGGCGUAAAGGGCACGCAGGCGGUGACUUAAGUGAGAUGUGAAAGCCCCGAGCUUAACUUGGGAAUUGCAUUUCAUACUGGGUCGCUAGAGUAUUUUAGGGAGGGGUAGAAUUCCACGUGUAGCGGUGAAAUGCGUAGAGAUGUGGAGGAAUACCGGAGGCGAAGGCAGCCCCUUGGGAAUAUACUGACGCUCAUGUGCGAAAGCGUGGGGAGCAAACAGGAUUAGAUACCCUGGUAGUCCACGCUGUAAACGCUGUCGAUUUGGGGAUUGGGUUUAGAGCUUGGUGCCCGUAGCU
RNAcentral lists this ribosomal RNA (854 nucleotides) under uncultured bacterium. RNAcentral's name for it is "bacterial SSU rRNA". It matches the Rfam family "Bacterial small subunit ribosomal RNA", at positions 8 to 853 of the family's 1533-position model. The record is from RNAcentral.